UGGGGAAUAUUGCACAAUGGGGGAAACCCUGAUGCAGCGACGCCGCGUGAGCGAAGAAGGUUUUCGAAUCGUAAAGCUCUGUCCUAUGAGAAGAUAAUGACGGUAUCAUAGGAGGAAGCCCCGGCUAACUACGUGCCAGCAGCCGCGGUAAUACGUAGGUGGCGAGCGUUAUCCGGAUUUACUGGGUGUAAAGGGCGUGCAGGCGGGCUGAUAAGUCAGAUGUGAAAUCCCCGAGCUUAACUCGGGAACUGCAUCUGAUACUGUUGGUCUUGAGUGCUGGAGAGGAUAGUGGAAUUCCUAGUGUAGCGGUAAAAUGCGCAGAUAUUAGGAGGAACACCAGUGGCGAAGGCGGCUAUCUGGACAGUAACUGACGCUGAGGCGCGAAAGCGUGGGUAGCAAACAGG
RNAcentral lists this ribosomal RNA (404 nucleotides) under Verrucomicrobiota bacterium. RNAcentral describes it as "Verrucomicrobia bacterium partial 16S ribosomal RNA". It matches the Rfam family "Bacterial small subunit ribosomal RNA", at positions 355 to 776 of the family's 1533-position model. The record is from RNAcentral. Lineage: Bacteria; Pseudomonadati; Verrucomicrobiota.